GUAGGUGGCAAGCGUUGUCCGGAAUUAUUGGGCGUAAAGCGCGCGCAGGCGGUUUUUUAAGUCUGAUGUGAAAGCCCACGGCUCAACCGUGGAGGGUCAUUGGAAACUGGAGAACUUGAGUACAGAAGAGGAAAGCGGAAUUCCACGUGUAGCGGUGAAAUGCGUAGAGAUGUGGAGGAACACCAGUGGCGAAGGCGGCUUUCUGGUCUGUAACUGACGCUGAGGCGCGAAAGCGUGGGGAGCAAACAGGGAUUAGAUACCCUGGUAGUCCACGCCGUAAACGAUGAGUGCUAAGUGUUAGGGGGUUUCCCGCCCCUUAGUGCUGCAGCUAACGCAUUAAGCACUCCGCCUGGGGAGUACGGCCGCAAGGCUG
This 373-nucleotide ribosomal RNA is filed under the name uncultured organism. RNAcentral's name for it is "partial 16S ribosomal RNA". It matches the Rfam family "Bacterial small subunit ribosomal RNA", at positions 527 to 896 of the family's 1533-position model. The record is from RNAcentral.